RNAcentral lists this long non-coding RNA (966 nucleotides) under Mytilus galloprovincialis (Mediterranean mussel). The record is from RNAcentral. Lineage: Eukaryota; Metazoa; Mollusca; Bivalvia; Mytilida; Mytilidae.
AAUUGUACGAACAGUACCACUGGUCAACCAACAACUACUAACUCAUGCGCAUCACCUAUAAAUUCUCACAAGUUUUGGUGUGGUUCAUUUAUUUUUCUCAAUUUUUAUUUUCGGUAAUUGAUUUUUGUUUACCCAAUGGUAUUUUUCUUUCUUUUUUUAUGACAUAUAGAUAUUUCCUCUGUACGAAAAUCCAGUUUUGUCUCUACACACAAAUAAAACUACUAAAAAGAGUGUUAAAAAUAAGUAGAUGUUUUAUGAUUGUACAUGGGAUAACUAUUCAUCAGAGACCAUGCAACGAAAGAGAAUGGAUGCAGAGAACUACAUGCCACCGUACUGCCUUCAACUAUCAAGCCCAAUCCGUAAAGAAAACUUAGAAAGCCCCGGCAUCACAAAAAAAUGAAACAAAUCUAUCAAAAGAGAAAACCAACGACAUGAUUUAUGCAAAAACAAUUAGGAAAAAAACAAUUAUGGCAAAAAGUUCAUAGAUGCAUAUUUCCGAGUGGUAUUUUGGUCUUUGUAAGAGAAUAAGGUCAAGCCUUUCCAUUCUAUGAAAGGACUUAUCAUUGUAUAGUACAUUCUCCUAGUUCAUGACAGUUUAAUUUGGCGAGUAUACAGUCAGAGGGCCAAAAGUAUUUCACCACUUCAAAAUUUUGCUAUUAUAUAAUACAAGUAUAUCAAGAACACUAAUUACACUAUCCUUCAGUUAUUUUGUCCAAUUUGAAUGAAACUUUAACCGCUAAACGAAAAAAAAAGGUUUAAGAUCUGUUUUGUGCCAUCAUUAUGAUAUCUGUGUUUGAUAAUAUGAAAGGAAAUAACGGUUUAAAGAUAAAUGUGAAUUAGCAUGAAAGAAAUGGAUAGAUAUAGGAAAAGAUUUAUACUUGAUUCACUACUUAAAUAUAGUUCUUUUCAGAUCCAACCGUAGAUUAAUCACAAUCAUAUUUCGGAUAUAACUUCGAUUUAAUCUUG